CAGCAGCCGCGGUAAUACGUAGGGUGCAAGCGUUAAUCGGAAUUACUGGGCGUAAAGCGUGCGCAGGCGGUUCGCUAAGACAGAUGUGAAAUCCCCGGGCUUAACCUGGGAACUGCAUUUGCGACUGGCGGGCUAGAGUAUGGCAGAGGGGGGUAGAAUUCCACGUGUAGCAGUGAAAUGCGUAGAGGUGUGGAGGAAUACCGAUGGCGAAGGCAGCCCCCUGGGCCAAUACUGACGCUCAUGCACGAAAGCGUGGGGAGCAAACAGGAUUAGAUACCCCUGUAGUCCCUGUCUCUUAUAC
RNAcentral lists this ribosomal RNA (301 nucleotides) under uncultured bacterium. RNAcentral's name for it is "partial 16S ribosomal RNA". It matches the Rfam family "Bacterial small subunit ribosomal RNA", at positions 509 to 807 of the family's 1533-position model. The record is from RNAcentral.